CCUACGGGUGGCAGCAGUGAGGAAUAUUGGUCAAUGGACGAGAGUCUGAACCAGCCAAGUAGCGUGAAGGAUGACUGCCCUAUGGGUUGUAAACUUCUUUUAUAUGGGAAUAAAAUGUUCCAAGUGUGGGAUUUUGUAUGUACCAUAUGAAUAAGGAUCGGCUGGCUCCGUGGCAGCAGCCGCGGUAAUACGGAGGGUCUGGGCGUUAUCCGGAUUUAGUGGGUUUAAAGGGCGCGGAGGUGGAUUGUUAAGUCAGUUGUGAAAGUUUGCGGCUCAACCGUAAAAUUGCAGUUGAAACUGGCAGGCUUGAGUACAGUAGAGGUGGGCGGAAUUCGUGGUGUAGCGGUGAAAUGCUUAGAUAUCACGAAGAACUCCGAUUGCGAAGGCAGCUCACUGGACUGCAACUGACACUGAGGCUCGAAAGUGUGGGUAUCAAACAGGAUUAGAUACCCGGGUAGUC
This 460-nucleotide ribosomal RNA is filed under the name uncultured bacterium. RNAcentral's name for it is "partial 16S ribosomal RNA". It matches the Rfam family "Bacterial small subunit ribosomal RNA", at positions 338 to 795 of the family's 1533-position model. The record is from RNAcentral.